GUCUAAACAAACGAUGAAGAAAUUGUUAAAGCAUCAUUUGAUUUUUUCUUUGUAAUUUCACAUUUACGUCUCCCAAAGCAACUUUUAAUCCUGUAGUGAUCUGUCUGGGAACAGCGUUGGUAAUGUGUGGGAUCGUGAUCUCUGUUCAAGCUGCUUUACUCUGUAAAAGGAAAAACUGUGAUCAGUACAGAGAGAGAAUCCAGCAUGGAAAUGUUAUAAACACAGAGAAGACAAACACUCAGGACCAUGACACUGUGGAGGUGAAUUACGCUGCCUUAGACUUCAAUGAAAGGAAAACUAAAAGAGCGAGAGAAAAUCGAGGUCGAUCUCAACACAGUGUAUACUCUGAAGUGAAAUCUUCCAGUAUUACUUAAAAUAUUUUUGAAUUUUUUUUUUUCAGCUGAUUUAUUUUUUCUGCUCAUAAGUAAAGUUUAAGGCAGCAGUCUGUGCUGAAUCUGUUUUAGAUUUAAACACUAAAAACUCAAAGAAUUCAAAUAGGUUUAGUUAUUUGUGAGAAACAUGGUUUAAUUCUGUGUUAAUAAAAUGAUGAACAUGAUCUCAAAUGAUCUACAUGUAAAUUUGUCUGUAAUGUCAGAACUUUUACAUCUGCUUGUCAUAAAACGCUUGAUUGAAAAGUUUUGUUUUCUGUACUGAGUAUCUCAGCAAAGCUUUACAUGACCAAUGAUUCCUGUCCAUUUGGUUUGUUUUCUAUAAUGUCAGCUUUGUAA
Pangasianodon hypophthalmus (striped catfish) is the source of this 728-nucleotide long non-coding RNA. RefSeq lists it as uncharacterized. NCBI's taxonomy places the organism in Eukaryota, Metazoa, Chordata, Actinopteri, Siluriformes, Pangasiidae. The transcript has 3 exons. The record is from RefSeq and is a predicted model, not a curated record.